Prionailurus viverrinus (fishing cat) is the source of this 1522-nucleotide long non-coding RNA. RefSeq lists it as uncharacterized. The record is from RefSeq and is a predicted model, not a curated record. Lineage: Eukaryota; Metazoa; Chordata; Mammalia; Carnivora; Felidae. The transcript is spliced from 4 exons.
CGGCGCACAGCCGCUUGAAGAAUCCCACCGGCGCCCGCGCCGCCCCCUCCGCGCCCCCACGCUCCGCUCGGCCCCGCUCGCCCCGCGCCGGCAUGAGAGCGAGCCUGUGAUUGGACAGAGCGCGGCGGUGAAAGGUUAAUCCCGGCCCCGCAGCCAUUCAGGAGCCGGGAGACAGCGGACGCGGGAGGCGGAAGCCAGGCGGCGUUUGCGGCCCAGCGCCGGGAGUGGACCGGGGCGACCCACCGCCUGCGGCCCGGCGCCUUCGCCGCGCUCCUGGGCCCGCGCGCCGGGGCCGCGAGCGCUCGCCGGGCUCGGCAGAACCUCCCGGCUCUCGGAACUCGUCCGCCUCCAUCGUUGCCCCUCUGACACCCACCGCCCCCUAAACGUGGCCCUUCCCCACGGCCGUAAUUGUUCUCCCGAGGCUCAGCGCUCCUCUUAACCACCGCCUCCCCUUUUUAAAGGGCCUUUCCACUCGCCUGCUUCUACCCCGCGGUGGUGGUGCCGGGCCCUCCGCAUUUGGGGAGACAACAGACCCCACCCCGCCCCGGAAUAGGAAUAACCGGAUAAUGGGACGGAGACGGGGGGGGGGGGGGGGGGGGGCCGCUUAUGUAAAUUGUCUCUUUGCAUAGGUUGCAACCCUCUGCCACACCUCGUGUCUGUGAAUUAAAGAGUGGAUGGAGGUCCAGACAAGUCAGGAUACAAAUAUACCUUUGCUUAAGACUCUUUGUUUGCAAGUAACAGAAACCAACCUGAAGGAGCUUAACCAAAAGGGAAGAACUGUAUCACCAGGUUGCAGACGCUUCUCACAGAAGCCGGGAGCAGGAAUACAGCUGCAGCAAAGGAGUAGACGCCAGGAGUUGGAAAGCUUUCAGGAACUCAAAGGAGAGUACAGUCGUCCCACUCUUCAGCAAGGAAGUCAGCCGAGCGUGGAGAUCAGAGCCAAAACAAGGAAGCUCUGUCCGCUGAAAGAACCCUGGAGCAGCAGCCCUAUAUCCAGGAGAAUACCUAACACCCAGAUUGAAACACCAUCUUCUGCUAAAAGGAACCGGGAAUCCUUGAAGAAAUACCUGACUUCACGGUUGGGACCGAGAAAGCGUACGUAAGCCUGGACCUUCUUGUCGUGCCAGAAAACAUGAAAAUGCUCAGAGUGAAGGAGACAUUUCAAAACAACAACGUAGUCCGUUUGAAGGGACUCCCGCUGGCCAAAUCUGGGAAAUAGGAACAUCAAAAUAAAUGAUGAUAGUAGGAGAUUAUGUCCCAUGGAGUAAAAUAGAAUCCAUGAGUCCACGCUGAUGUGUGUGUGUGUGUGUGUGUGUGUGUGUGUGUGUGUGUGUGUUUAAUGAAUGAAUAAGUGAAGAGAAAAGAGACAGGUCUUCCUUAGGAUAGAAUGCAACUAGAAAUUUGGAAGGAAUAGGGGAUCCUGGGUGGCUCAGUGAAUUGAGCAUCAACUCUUGAUUUCAGCUCAGGUCAUGAUCCCAGGGCUGUGGGAUCGGGACCCACGUCAGGGUCUCGCUGACCCCGU